CCUACGGGAGGCAGCAGUGAGGAAUAUUGGUCAAUGGACGCAAGUCUGAACCAGCCAUGCCGCGUGCAGGAAGACGGCUCUAUGAGUUGUAAACUGCUUUUGUACGAGGGUAAAUCCCGAUACGUGUAUCGGGUUGAAAGUAUCGUACGAAUAAGGAUCGGCUAACUCCGUGCCAGCAGCCGCGGUAAUACGGAGGAUUCAAGCGUUAUCCGGAUUUAUUGGGUUUAAAGGGUGCGUAGGCGGUUCGAUAAGUUAGAGGUGAAAGCCCGGGGCUCAACUCCGGCACUGCCUCUGAUACUGUCGGGCUAGAGUUUAGUUGCGGUAGGCGGAAUGUAUGGUGUAGCGGUGAAAUGCAUAGAGAUCAGACAGAAGACCGAUUGCGAAGGCAGCUUACCAAACUACGACUGACGUUGAGGCACGAAAGCGUGGGGAGCAAACAGGAUGAGAUACCCCUGUAGUG
This 460-nucleotide ribosomal RNA is filed under the name uncultured bacterium. Its description in RNAcentral is "partial 16S ribosomal RNA". It matches the Rfam family "Bacterial small subunit ribosomal RNA", at positions 338 to 795 of the family's 1533-position model. The record is from RNAcentral.